GGGAGGAUAUUGCAGUCCUAUCUUGGGGCAGAAUUUCUGAUAAACACUAGUAUGAAGGUUAACAAUUUAUCUUAGGACAGUAAUCAAAUGCUUCCAGAUUUUUUCCUUCAUUUGCAUCAUAAUUUAAAGAGCUAAUCCAACCAAGCUCUUAGCAAGUCAAAUUUCUUUAUAUCAUCCUUAUCACAUAGUUUAGAUAAAUCUGAAGUUUAUCAAAACUAUUAUUUAAAUAUUUUUUUGUUUGAUAAAACUCUAAUCUAGAAGGAUUCCUCCAGCAUAUAGUCUGUCAGCGUCCCCGUUGCGUAGAAACAUGUGCUCUAGCGAAGCCGGAUGAUAUUGAAUUUGGAAUCCUCGAUAUGAGAUUAUGAAGUUUGUCACGAGGAAAAAUUUCGUCAUGCACUAUGAUUUUGGGUAACCUUCGCAACAAAGUCCACUCCAUCUGACGAUUAGAUUGGACUAACGCCCCGAAGCCCAACGAGGAAGUUUCUCGCUUCCUGAAUUCUCACUACAAGUCCAGUUGCAUUAGGUUGCGUACGUAAAUCAGUUUAGACUAGCAUACAAGUUGAAUUGGUACUGUGUGGAAGAAGGGUAACUAUUAUGCUUCAAUGCCACUAGUCGUUAUGCUAGUGGUAUAUAGGACAGGAAAUGGA
Molecule: long non-coding RNA, 647 nt
Filed under: Elaeis guineensis (African oil palm)
Lineage: Eukaryota; Viridiplantae; Streptophyta; Magnoliopsida; Arecales; Arecaceae
Description: long non-coding RNA (EGUI_LNC002848)
Source: RNAcentral